Molecule: ribosomal RNA, 252 nt
Filed under: uncultured bacterium
Lineage: Bacteria
Description: partial 16S ribosomal RNA
Rfam family: Bacterial small subunit ribosomal RNA
Source: RNAcentral
UACGGAGGAUGCGAGCGUUAUCCGGAUUUAUUGGGUUUAAAGGGUGCGUAGGCGGAUCGUUAAGUCAGUGGUCAAAUUGAGGGGCUCAACCCCUUCCCGCCAUUGAAACUGGCGAUCUUGAGUGGAAGAGGAGUAUGCGGAAUGCGUGGUGUAGCGGUGAAAUGCAUAGAUAUCACGCAGAACCCCGAUUGCGAAGGCAGCAUGCCGGCUUCCUACUGACGUUGAGGCUCGAAAGCGUGGGGAGCGAACAGG